CCUCAGAGCCGCAGAGGGAACCGCCACCACCGGAUCCAUCGGCGCUGCCCAACGGGACGGAGGUGGGAGCUCGCCGUGGGGCGCCCCACGGAAGUGUGGGGUGUGCACACCGUGACCCCAUAUCCCCUCCACAGCCCCCGGGAGCCGGGCUGACCGAGCAGCCCAUCGAGGUGCAGCUGCAGCGGGAGCUGGAGCAGCUGAGCGCCGAGCUGGACCAGGAGCUGCGCGCCAUGGAGACGCGGCCACAGCGGGUACCGGGCGGGGGGCAGCGCCGGGGGGGGG
Molecule: long non-coding RNA, 282 nt
Filed under: Numida meleagris (helmeted guineafowl)
Lineage: Eukaryota; Metazoa; Chordata; Aves; Galliformes; Numididae
Description: lncRNA (ENSNMEG00000002682.1)
Source: RNAcentral